GCCUACAUGAAGCUGGAAUUGCUAGUAAUCACAGGUCAGCAUACUGUGGUGAAUACGUUCCCGGGCCUUGUACACACCGCCCGUCACACCAUGAGAGUUGAGAAUACCCGAAGCCCAUGUCAAAGUGGUCGAAGGUAGGCUUGAUGAUUCGGGGUGAAGUCGUAACAAGGUAAC
Molecule: ribosomal RNA, 174 nt
Filed under: uncultured bacterium
Lineage: Bacteria
Description: partial 16S ribosomal RNA
Rfam family: Bacterial small subunit ribosomal RNA
Source: RNAcentral